Astyanax mexicanus (Mexican tetra) is the source of this 1736-nucleotide long non-coding RNA. RefSeq lists it as uncharacterized. The record is from RefSeq and is a predicted model, not a curated record. NCBI's taxonomy places the organism in Eukaryota, Metazoa, Chordata, Actinopteri, Characiformes, Acestrorhamphidae. The transcript has 3 exons.
AGAGCGGGCACGGCCCGCGAUCGCAGCAGCGCGGACUACGAGUCCAGGGUUAAUAGAGCGGGCACGGCCCGCGAUCGCAGCAGCGCGGACUACGAGUCCAGGGUUAAUAGAGCGGGCACGGCCCGCGAUCGCAGCAGCGCGGACUACGAGUCCAGGUUAAUAGAGCGGGCACGGCCCGCGAUCGCAGCAGCGCGGACUACGAGUCCAGUGGGUAUUUAGAGCGGGCACGGCCCGCGACUGCAGCAGCGCGGACUACGAGUCCAGUGGGUAUUUAGAGCGGGCACGGCCCGCGAUCGCAGCAGCGCGGACUACGAGUCCAGGGUUAAUAGAGCGGGCACGGCCCGUGAUCGCAGCAGCGCGGACUACGAGUCCAGUGGGUAUUAGGGCGGGCACGGCCCGAGAAUUAAACUUUCCAUUAUCAUUGACUGCUAUAACAUUUUACUGAUGAUUGUUAUUAGACACCUUGUAAGUCAUGAUGCGAACAAAGCAAAUAUAACAGGGGAAGCGAAAUUAAUGUCAAAACAAAUGUCAGGAAGCACCAAAUGCAGAACCAAGGACAGACUGUCCUUGGAGAACACCCCCAAAACCAAAGGACCAGGGAAAUUAACAUCAGCACAAACCAUAAGACAUAAAGCAACGACAAACCGGAUCGGAUACUUAACAUUGAGGCACGGAAUUUGCACAGCAGUACAUCAAAGCAACCCGUGAUCGGUAAAUGCGCAAAACUUCGGCCACUAAAAAAGUUCUAAGGCAAUAGCAACCGCUGCCCACGGCGUUGAUUAAUAUGUUAAAACACGGAAUCGUAAAAGUAGAAUUUCUGCAAGAAAGGUACAUGCCAAUCAUGGAACAAAACAUAGCACAGGCAACACAAAAUUAACCCAAUAAAAGGCAGCAAAUCACCAGAAUUAGACCAGGUACGGAGUCAGUGCAGUCCACGAAUCACGUCAUCGAGAACCUGUGCAGUACUGUACAUACAAGCAGCAUCGGACACGAGUCCAAUCAAGCAGCGGAGCGGGCACGGCCUGAGACAAUAAACAACGCGGACAGCGAGUACAGUAAAGCAUUAGAGCGGGCACGGCCCGAGACAAUAAACAACGCGAACUGCGAGUACGGUAAAGCAUUAGAGCUGGCACGGCCCGAGAUAAUAAACCACGCGGACUGCGAGCCAGUAAAGCAUUAGAGCGGGCACGGCCCGAGAUAACAAACAGCGCGGACUGCGAGUACAGUAAAGCAUUAGAGCUGGCACGGCCCGAGAUAAUAAACCACGCGGACUGCGAGUACGGUAAAGCAUUAGAGCGGGCACGGCCCGAGAUUAUAAACGAUGCGGACUGCGAGUAUAGCAAACCAUUAAAGCGGGCACGGCCCGAGAUAAGAAACCGCGCAGACUGCGAGCCAUUAAAGCAUUACAGAGCGGGCACGGCCCGAGAUUAUGAACAACGCGAACUGAGAGUACGGUAAAGCAUUAGAGCGGGCACAGCCCGAGAUAAUAAACGAUGCGGACUGCGCGUACAGUAACCAGCAGAGCGGGCACGGCCUGAGAUAAUAAACAACGCGGACUGCGAGUACAGUAAACCAUUAGAGCGGGCGCGGCCCGAGAUAAUAAACAACGCGGACUGCGAGUACAGUAAACCAUUAGAGCGGGCACGGCCCGAGAUAAUAAACAACACGGACUGCGAGUACAGUAAACCAUUAGAGCGGGCACGGCCCGAGAUAAGAAACAACGCGGGCUGCGAGUA